AAUAAGUACUAAUAAAGAAAAAGUCAAACCCACCAAUUAUAUCUAAGUCAAGCAAUGGAAUAAAUCGAGAUACAGGGUAUAAUACUAGAAAUUAUACGAAGAAUAAUUAAGUGCAAGUCAAGAUACAGGGUAUAAUACUAGAAAUUAUACGAAGAAUAAAAUAACAAAGGUUAGAAGUAAUCGGAUUACGCUUGUAGACCAAAUCCGCUUUUCAUGCGUGGAAUGUUGGGUCCCAGCAAACUGAUGCCAAAACUGGUCGCCGGGAUAAUUGGCCGGAGCUUCGCCGGAGUGCCUCCGGAAUCCAAAGUUGCGGAAACCAGAUCUGGUCGGAACCAGAAGUACCGUCUGAUGGAUCCGCCGGAUCGGUCGCUUGUGACCGGAGCUGCGCGCUGCCUGUGUCGCCGGGGUCAAGCCGACGGUGAUCUCUACCGCCGGCGAAAGUUCGAACGACGGAGGGGGACAGGAAAUGGAAGAGAGAAGAGGGUAGAGAGAAGGGGGGCGUGGGGUUAUCCUUGCCUGUUACCGGCGCUCCGACGCCGUCGCCAGCAUCAGCCGGUCAAGGGGCAGUGGUCGUGGGUUUAGUGAACGUUAGAGAGAGAGUUAAUAAAUGUGUGCUCUCUCAAAAAACUUACUUUUAGAUGGAAGUCACAUAGUUAAACACACUUAGAUGGAAGUCACAUAGUUAAACACACUAUAGUGCAGAUAGUUACUAACUUUUUCCUGGCUGAUUCAGAGCUGAAAUAUUAGGACUGUCACAGAAAUCUGAACACAAGUAGUGAUAGUAUUGGAAGCAAAUGAUAAACUUCUAUUGAUUUCAUAAAUUGGAUAAGUACAUUGAAAUAACUACUUUUAGUAGGACGGACAGAACGAAACGGAGGGAGUAUAAUUUUUCACGAAUGGUGUUGAACUGGCCACUCUUUGCUCUUCAAAAAUAGCCUCUCUGCCAGCACAAGGUAGGGGUUAGGCUGCGUACGCACCACCCUCCCCAUACCCCGCUUGUGGGAUUACUCUGGGUUCAUUGUUGUUGAUAGGAGGAAAGCUCAAAGCUUUAUUAUUGGUUAUAUGUAGUUGUUGUUCUGACUAGUCCUGAAAAAGAGAGUGAAAUGAUGUUCUCCCUUUACUUGUAGGUAACUUGAAUUGAAUAAUGCAGGUCUACACUACCAUCACUGUUGAUGAACCUGCACCAGGGCUCAAGACAAUUGUCAGCUUUGUCAUACCAAAUCAGAAAUCUGGAAAGGUAGAGCUCCAGUACUUGCAUGAGUAUGCCGGUAUCAACACUAGCAUUGGACUCACAGGCAAUUUCACAAAAUGAAAUACUGGUCUGAGUUUUUGUACUGCUGAUCUGAUUGCUUCAUUAGCAUUGAAUGACGAGGGUGAUACCGUCAGUGCUUCCUACUGCCACACGGUGAAGCCAGUGACAAAUACAGCUGUUGAUGCAGGCAGAGUUAGGAGAACACAUUGACCAUUGGAAUCACAGCAUUUGGUGAAGGCUCGCGUUAACAGCUAUGGUAAGGCAAGUGCUCUCAUCACAAUAUCUGGUGAAGUGGAAAGAGGGCCAAGAUUGGGUUGGCUGUAGCCCUCAAGCCAUGAGUGUGUUAGUACCUUACAGAAAAGUGAGUGAAGCGGUGUCUGUUUUGUAUGAUGGAGAGUAAUAAAUUAGAUAGAUUUCCUUCUGCGCCCGGGAGAAUAAUCUUCAGCUGGUAAUGCAAACUCAUGAUUUUUUGCGUUCGUGUUUUAAACCUUUUACCCGAGCUUCAUCAUUCACGUAAUUGAUUAAUUGAAUAUUCUGCCAUUACGUUGUUGGAAGAGAGCUGCCUGCCUUUCUUUUCUUAAUUCCUGUCGGUAAAGAGUUCUACCUGAACGACUUUCUUGAUUGCUUCUACGUACCUGUAAACUGUAUAAACACUUCUUUUGGUUGGCAGUACAAUUCAUGUUAAUGUUUUUUGUUUUACUGAA
Molecule: long non-coding RNA, 1956 nt
Organism: Capsicum annuum
Lineage: Eukaryota; Viridiplantae; Streptophyta; Magnoliopsida; Solanales; Solanaceae
Exons: 3
Source: RefSeq, a predicted model, not a curated record